GAGUUUGAUCAUGGCUCAGGACGAACGCUGGCGGCGUGCCUAAUACAUGCAAGUAGAACGCUGAAGAGAGGAGCUUGCUCUUCUUGGAUGAGUUGCGAACGGGUGAGUAACGCGUAGGUAACCUGCCUUGUAGCGGGGGAUAACUAUUGGAAACGAUAGCUAAUACCGCAUAACAAUAGGUGACACAUGUCAUUUAUUUGAAAGGGGCAAUUGCUCCACUACAAGAUGGACCUGCGUUGUAUUAGCUAGUAGGCGAGGUAACGGCUCACCUAGGCGACGAUACAUAGCCGACCUGAGAGGGUGAUCGGCCACACUGGGACUGAGACACGGCCCAGACUCCUACGGGGGGCAGCAGUAGGGAAUCUUCGGCAAUGGGGGCAACCCUGACCGAGCAACGCCGCGUGAGUGAAGAAGGUUUUCGGAUCGUAAAGCUCUGUUGUAAGUCAAGAACGAGUGUGAGAGUGGAAAGUUCACACUGUGACGGUAGCUUACCAGAAAGGGACGGCUAACUACGUGCCAGCAGCCGCGGUAAUACGUAGGUCCCGAGCGUUGUCCGGAUUUAUUGGGCGUAAAGCGAGCGCAGGCGGUUUGAUAAGUCUGAAGUUAAAGGCUGUGGCUCAACCAUAGUUCGCUUUGGAAACUGUCAAACUUGAGUGCAGAAGGGGAGAGUGGAAUUCCAUGUGUAGCGGUGAAAUGCGUAGAUAUAUGGAGGAACACCGGUGGCGAAAGCGGCUCUCUGGUCUGUAACUGACGCUGAGGCUCGAAAGCGUGGGGAGCGAACAGGAUUAGAUACCCUGGUAGUCCACGCCGUAAACGAUGAGUGCUAGGUGUUGGAUCCUUUCCGGGAUUCAGUGCCGCAGCUAACGCAUUAAGCACUCCGCCUGGGGAGUACGACCGCAAGGUUGAAACUCAAAGGAAUUGACGGGGGCCCGCACAAGCGGUGGAGCAUGUGGUUUAAUUCGAAGCAACGCGAAGAACCUUACCAGGUCUUGACAUCCCGAUGCUAUUUCUAGAGAUAGAAAGUUACUUCGGUACAUCGGUGACAGGUGGUGCAUGGUUGUCGUCAGCUCGUGUCGUGAGAUGUUGGGUUAAGUCCCGCAACGAGCGCAACCCCUAUUGUUAGUUGCCAUCAUUCAGUUGGGCACUCUAGCGAGACUGCCGGUAAUAAACCGGAGGAAGGUGGGGAUGACGUCAAAUCAUCAUGCCCCUUAUGACCUGGGCUACACACGUGCUACAAUGGUUGGUACAACGAGUUGCGAGUCGGUGACGGCAAGCUAAUCUCUUAAAGCCAAUCUCAGUUCGGAUUGUAGGCUGCAACUCGCCUACAUGAAGUCGGAAUCGCUAGUAAUCGCGGAUCAGCACGCCGCGGUGAAUGCGUUCCCGGGCCUUGUACACACCGCCCGUCAA
This 1407-nucleotide ribosomal RNA is filed under the name uncultured bacterium. RNAcentral describes it as "bacterial SSU rRNA". It matches the Rfam family "Bacterial small subunit ribosomal RNA". The record is from RNAcentral.